AUAAUAAUUUGCGAUAGAAUUAG
RNAcentral lists this small nuclear RNA (23 nucleotides) under Arabidopsis thaliana (thale cress). RNAcentral describes it as "snRNA_10055". The record is from RNAcentral. Lineage: Eukaryota; Viridiplantae; Streptophyta; Magnoliopsida; Brassicales; Brassicaceae.